This is a long non-coding RNA of Halichondria panicea, 1349 nucleotides long. RefSeq lists it as uncharacterized. The record is from RefSeq and is a predicted model, not a curated record. Lineage: Eukaryota; Metazoa; Porifera; Demospongiae; Suberitida; Halichondriidae. The transcript has 7 exons.
UCGAGCCACGCCCAACUAGUAAAGAUACAGCCCAUGAAGACAAGUCUAAUUUCAUGAUGCCUGCUCCUCUUCCACGAUGUUUCUUUGACAUAGCUAUCAAUGGAGUGGCAAGUAAGUUAUGAAUGUGUUGGUUUGGUUGUAUAAUCAAGCUGUACUAGAUCUAGUCUCAUGAAUCAACCUGCCUUGGAGAGUCAGUCGGAGCACUUUCAAUGGAAUGUUAAUUGUCAUUACGUCAGUGUCAAAACCAGAAGAAUUCAAUUACGUCCAACGCAUGCAAAAGGUCAACCGCGAACGCUUGACUAGCAGCUAUGAAUUUUUGUUUGACAAGAAUAAGAAAAAGGUUGCAGAGCACUAGUAUAGUGUAGUCAACUCAACUUACUACAGCUCCUUGACUGGCUAUGCUGUACUGUAUAAAUGUAGACUGUUGUAAAAAGUAUUUCUUCCUCUCUUGUUCAGCUGGGUGGGUUGUGUUUGAGUUAUAUAGUGAUGUGGUUCCCAAGACAACGGAGAACUUCCGGUGUUUGUGUACGGGUGAGAGGGGGGAGGGCAAGAGCACGUUCAAGCCACUACACUACAAGGGCACACCCAUCCACCGUAUAGUGAAGGGCUUCAUUGUACAGGGAGGAGACUUCAGUAUGGACAUUUUGUCAGUGAUGGAACGGGUGGGGAGUCCAUCUAUGGUGGCAUGUUCAAGGAUGAGGUGUUCCAGCACAAACACAAAAAACCAUUCCUCCUCUUAAUGGCCAACAAGGGACCAAACACCAACGGAUCUCAUUUCUUCAUGAGGCGUUCGGAGAAGUUGUGCAAUACUUUGGAGAAAAUGCUAAACUGAGUCAACCCAACUCCAUCUUCCCUGUUCUGCACAGAUUCAUCACAAACUUCAGAAAAGCAGACAGUGACAACCUUGCUAAGAUAGCCAUCAGACAAGCUCAACUGUGUGUAUUACCUUGCGUGGAUGACACUUCCUUAUCAGAGGAUGAUCAGGGUGUGGACGUACUGCCUCAGAUCUACGACGGAGCUAUUGAAGAGAUCAUUUCCGGUAUGAAGAACACUGCAUACAGACCGGCCAACUACAGACGUAACACAUUACGUAAGCAUGGCAACUCUACGUCGUCCAAUCAGGUGGCAGCACCCUCACCACAUGAUGAACUUCUCCAGUCCCUACAGAGAAGAACUAAAGCUAGAGAGGACAAUUACGGUGCCAAUAGACCAUGGCUGAAAUAAUCUGUAUAGCUAGCUAAAAUCAUUUCAUUCACCGUUAUUGUCUUCUGUACAUUUUGUGUUUCUUUGCUCAAUUCAUAUAAUUAUACAUGUAAUAAAAUGUAUUGUAUGUUCGUUGAUGACCCAUG